RNAcentral lists this ribosomal RNA (465 nucleotides) under Vreelandella stevensii. RNAcentral describes it as "partial 16S ribosomal RNA". It matches the Rfam family "Bacterial small subunit ribosomal RNA", at positions 338 to 795 of the family's 1533-position model. The record is from RNAcentral. Lineage: Bacteria; Pseudomonadati; Pseudomonadota; Gammaproteobacteria; Oceanospirillales; Halomonadaceae.
CCUACGGGUGGCAGCAGUGGGGAAUAUUGGACAAUGGGCGAAAGCCUGAUCCAGCCAUGCCGCGUGUGUGAAGAAGGCCUUCGGGUUGUAAAGCACUUUCAGUGGGGAAGAAAGCCUUGGGGCUAAUACCCUCGAGGAAGGACAUCACCCACAGAAGAAGCACCGGCUAACUCCGUGCCAGCAGCCGCGGUAAUACGGAGGGUGCGAGCGUUAAUCGGAAUUACUGGGCGCAAAGCGCGCGUAGGCGGUCUGAUAAGCCGGUUGUGAAAGCCCCGGGCUCAACCUGGGAACGGCAUCCGGAACUGUCAGGCUAGAGUGCAGGAGAGGAAGGUAGAAUUCCCGGUGUAGCGGUGAAAUGCGUAGAGAUCGGGAGGAAUACCAGUGGCGAAGGCGGCCUUCUGGACUGACACUGACGCUGAGGUGCGAAAGCGUGGGUAGCAAACAGGAUUAGAUACCCCAGUAGUC